Molecule: non-coding RNA, 112 nt
Organism: Acanthosepion pharaonis
Lineage: Eukaryota; Metazoa; Mollusca; Cephalopoda; Sepiida; Sepiidae
Source: the annotation of a GenBank genome assembly
AACGGCCAUAUCACGUUGAAACACCAGUUCCUGUGCGAUCACCGAAGUUAAGAUAACUCGAGCCUGGUCAGUAUCUAAAUGGGUAACCGCUUGGUAAUACCAGGUGCUGUAA